Molecule: ribosomal RNA, 253 nt
Filed under: uncultured bacterium
Lineage: Bacteria
Description: partial 16S ribosomal RNA
Rfam family: Bacterial small subunit ribosomal RNA
Source: RNAcentral
UACGGAGGGUGCAAGCGUUAUCCGGAUUCACUGGGUUUAAAGGGUGCGUAGGCGGGUAAGUAAGUCCGUGGUGAAAUCUCUGAGCUUAACUCAGAAACUGCCGUGGAUACUAUUUGCCUUGAAUAUUGUGGAGGUGAGCGGAAUAUGUCAUGUAGCGGUGAAAUGCUUAGAUAUGACAUAGAACACCAAUUGCGAAGGCAGCUAACUACGCGAAUAUUGACGCUGAGGCACGAAAGCGUGGGGAUCAAACAGG